This 322-nucleotide long non-coding RNA is filed under the name Homo sapiens (human). RNAcentral describes it as "HSALNT0400798". Lineage: Eukaryota; Metazoa; Chordata; Mammalia; Primates; Hominidae. The record is from RNAcentral.
AUUCCAUUAAUAUUCAGUUCAGAAGAAGCUGGCUGGACUCAUCCAUGUGACCUGAGAUUGGCCAAUCGACAGUGGCUGCUGGCCAAGACCUUGCCUCUUGAGUGAGUGACUCAAAGACAAAGGGAUACUAAGAUUGAAUCACAGCAGUGGUGCGCAGUGUUGCUGGGGGCAGCAGCUGUUGUUGCUCUUUCUUGGUGGAGCUGUCCUUGUGCCUGUUUGUUUUCCAAGCCUGCACUCCUGUUGUAGCUCAGGGGCCCUUGUAACAUAUUUCUCUUUUGCUUGCCAUGAUUACUUCACCAGUCUGUGAGCUCCUCGAGAGCAG